GCCGCGGUGGCGAAACCGGCAGACGCGUACGACUCAAAAUCGUAUGGAGGCAACUCCAUGAGAGUUCGAUUCUCUCCCGCGGCACCA
RNAcentral lists this transfer RNA (87 nucleotides) under Parcubacteria group bacterium CG_4_10_14_0_8_um_filter_35_7. RNAcentral's name for it is "tRNA-Leu". It matches the Rfam family "tRNA". Rfam says of the family: Transfer RNA (tRNA) molecules are approximately 80 nucleotides in length. RNAcentral also lists the same sequence under 1 other name. The record is from RNAcentral.